AAAGCAUGCCUUCCAAUGCAAAUAGGCUUUGUCCAUCCUGGAAUAAGCCGUGGGAUGUUUUUGCACAUGAUUGGCUCUCUGAACACAGUGCCAUUUAAAAUGUUCCUUAUUGUCCCAUUAGGACUCCUCCACAUAGAUUUCAGGCCAAACUCCUUAACUCGAGCUUCAUCUGGGGUUAUUGUUGCGCAUUUAAUAGCCAGA
RNAcentral lists this unclassified non-coding RNA (201 nucleotides) under Hevea brasiliensis (rubber tree). The record is from RNAcentral. Lineage: Eukaryota; Viridiplantae; Streptophyta; Magnoliopsida; Malpighiales; Euphorbiaceae.